RNAcentral lists this long non-coding RNA (6196 nucleotides) under Sus scrofa (pig). RNAcentral describes it as "lncRNA (ENSSSCG00000051951.1)". The record is from RNAcentral. Lineage: Eukaryota; Metazoa; Chordata; Mammalia; Artiodactyla; Suidae.
CAGAACAUGGUGAACACCACCAGGGGAGAGUGAGUUUGAAUACCACAUUUUGAAAAUCCCUGAAUGCUUAUAAAAAGCCUUUGACUUCAUUUUGUAGGAAAUUUGGAAGCAUGGAUUGUUGCUAGGCAGGGGAAUGACUUGAACAGAUCUUUAAUUUAGCUGGCUAAUUUUGAUGGAUCUGGGGAACAAAUUAAUGGUCUAGAAGAGCAGAAGCUAUAAAAUAUGAGAAAGAGAAUCUAAUUAAGAAGUGAUUUUUUCAAAAAGAAGUAAUUAUAAGCACUGAACACAUGAGGGUCUUAUUUAGACCUGGACUAAUACGGAAUGGUGAAAGCCAAAUGAGUAAGAUACAUUAAUGUCAUUAAAGACACACUUCAACAAGCUUCAACCCAAGCAUAGAACUUCAUCUCUCUGUGAUCUUGAGCUUAGCUAGAGCUUUAUACAACUCAUCCCAGAAUCACUGAGAACCAUGCCAUGAUUUUGUAAGGUAAACAGAGAAAUGACCAAUCCCUACUGAUAUUACCCUUUCCUCAGCCAAUCAAGUGAUACCUUGUUUUAUUUGAAGCACACUUCCUCUCCUUGUUAAGAAAAAUUAUGACAAGUUGGGACUUAUAAAAGGGCAGGAAGAUAUCCCUUUAGAAUGGAGAGCUAAUGGCAUAUUUAUGAGCAGAGGAGAGGCGCUGGUACAACAAAAAGCAGAUCCAACAAAAAGCAGAUCUCAUUCAAAGAGUCUCUUCCUAGAAUCACAGUAACAUUUAAAUUUGUUGGUUAAUAGUAUUAAGAACUCACCACAUGCUGCCCACUAUUCUAAGUACUUUAUUAACUUAUUAAGUCUCCACAGUAACUUAAAUGGGAGAAAUUACAUUAAUAUUAUGCCCAUUGUGAAGAUCAGAAGAUGAGGCAAUGAUUGACGUAUGUCUUACCAAGUAUAUAUAGCCAAUGACAGCAAAGCCAGGAUUUUAAUCCAGGUGAGAUGGAUGUGAAGGCCAUGAUCUAAAGUAUGACUCUAUCCUAUCUUACCUUCCAGCAGGAAGCCACAAAGGACAGAAAAGAAUUAACAGCAGCUAGAGGAAAUCUUGAUCUCUGAAUUUUGUGUUUUUUUUUUUUUAAAAAAGGUAAAUUCUGUAGAGUUUUUAUCUAAAAGAUGAUUUGAGCAAGAUGUACCUAUAAAUAAAUAAUAAAUAAACAUGGAAGUUAUGCAAUUAUGGGAUAUAUCUGGCCAGAGAAUGGAAAUUAGACCUGUAACAUCUUUGCCCUGAAUGACUAACCACAUAUAAAAGCUAAGAAGCUCUAAACCUAAAUGGCUGAGCUGACACGCACACACACACUGUCAGUGCUUGUUUGCUACUCUUAGUGUGGGAAAAGAAUAAUUAAGAAGCUGAUUUGAAGGCUCAAGCCCCUCAGGAAAGGAAUACUACUUGUGUGCCUGAUUCUUGCUUAUAUUUUUUGAGCCAUUAGUAGUUUGGUGUUGGGCAAGACCUAUGAUUCAUGUGAGUCUCUUUUGAUGAGUCUACCUUUUGUGGCAACUCACUAUGGAAAGAAAAGAGCACAGCAGUGGGUGUUUUGGCUUUGAACAGCUUGAGUUCUGCCAUUAUUUAAUCUAUUAUGAUACAGGAUUUAGUGUAAUACCAAUUUAUGCCUAUACACAUAACUACCAUGUCAGAAAUUCCCCAAUUUCUACUUAGGGGUCACAGAUUCAAAUUUUUAGUUUGGUAGAAGGCAGAAUACAAACAGGGGGCCAGUGAAAACGGCUUGUAAAAAUAAAAAUAGCUAAUAUAGUUGGGCAAUUGCUUUUUGCUUAUUAUCUUAACUGGUAACUUGUUUACUUCUCAUAACAAAAUUAUGAGGUCAGUACCAUUAUUAUUGCUGUGUUAUAGAUGUAGAAACUUAGUAAAUGUGGUGCAAUUACUGUGCCAGUCUGACCGCUGUCUCCUUCCCACAGAGGAGUGAGGAGGCCGGCACAAUGCAUGAAGAGAAGCACUCACCCCUUCCACAGAAGCAAUGCAGAUAUCUCCCUCAGGUUCUAUUCUGUUAGUUGACCUACGUAUGGUUUGAUACCAUAUAACUGUAUUUGUCUGCUGAGACUGCCAUCACAACCUACCACAGACUUAAACAACAGAAAUUUAUUAAUCACAAAUUAUAGAAGCUAGAAGUCCACAAUCAAGAUGCUUUCAGGGUUGAUUUCGGGUGACGUUCUCUUUCUUCCUUAUAGAUUUCUUGCUCUAUCAUCACAUGGCCUCUUCUCUGUUUGCUUGGAGAGAGAAAGAAGGUUCUCUGGUGUCUCUUCCACUUCUUAUAAAGCCACCGGCCUUAUCACAUUAGGAUCCACUCUUAUGACCUCAUUUAACCUUAAUUAUUUCCUUAAAGGCCCCAUCUCCAAAAACACUCUCAUUUGGGCUGAGGACUUCAAUAUUUGAAUUUAGGAGAACACAAUUCAGUCCAUGACAAUGGUUCCUGUACCUUUCUGUCCAUCCGUGGUUCUUUUUCUAAUACUCUCUGCCCACUGUACUCUCAUGAUCUAAUCCUUUAGAAAACCUUUGUCCUUGCCUUGACUUAGGCUUACAGGACCCAUAGAGGUUAAGACUAGUUUUCUCCUCUCCCUGCUGAGAGUAAAGUAUUCAGAGACGCUUCUAACUGUACUCCCUUCUGGCCUUCAGUAAGUUUUUCACAUGGCCAUCAGAAUUAUCAUCCUAAAAAUUAAUUGAAGUUUUCUCAAUUAGAUAGACAACAAAAUUAAAAUCCUUCAGCAUGGUUUUACACACAUGCCCAAUCCACUUUCCUUGCUUUAUCAUGCUGUGUUUCAGUCAGGAUAUAAACCCCAUUCUUAUGAAUCUAUCACUUUAAUUCCUAUCAUUUAAUGCUCUGCAUGUGCUUCUGCUAUGAGACUUAAUUCCUCACAUCUUGUAUAAGAGCUGGUUGUUUACAUCAUUCUUAGAAAAGCUGAAACCUCAUUAAGUUAGAGAUGGGCAGAAAUAGUAUUUAUCCUUGCAUACUUAUACUGACAGGUAUAGUAAGCUCUCAUUAAUUAAUUUUUAAGUUAUAUGAUGAAUCACAUAAAUAUUUAUUCAAUGACUACUCUAUGCUAGGCCCUAUGCUUCAAGAAAAAAGCUAAAGAUGUUCUUGUUAUAUUUUUAAAUGUUUAUUUAUUAUCAUUAAAGUAUAGUUGAUUUACAAUGUUUCAUUAAGUUCUAUUGUACAACAAAGUAACCUAAUCACACACAUUUUCCUGUGCUUUAUAGUGAGAUCCCAUUGCCCAUCCAUUCCAAAUAUAACUAUUUGCAUCCAAAAAACCCCCCAAAUGCCCAUCCAUCCCACUCCCCCCGCCACCUUUGUCCCUUGGGAAUCCCAAGUCUGCUCUUCUUGGCCAUGAUAUGUUUCUGCUUUUUGUUGGUUUAUUUUAGAUGGGAUGAUCUGUUCCCUAUUUUAGAUUCCACAAAUAAGUGAUAUCAUAUAGUAUUUGUCUUUUUCUUUCUGGCCUACUUCUGUAUUACAUUUUUUUUUUCAACAGAAAAUGAUUUUCUGGUUUAGGUAACAGAUCAUAUGGAAUAAACAAAUAAUUUAAAAUUCUGCAAUCCUUAGCUACAGUUUCAAAGCAUGCUAUGGGUUCUCUUUUGCUUUCGUUAGAAUUAGGUUUACCUGACUGUAACUAUAUCAAAAUACAAUGGUUUAGAUGAAGUACCUUCCUCACACAAAGUAAGCCCAGAGGUAGGCAUGUCAAGAGCUGAGAUGUGACUCUGAGGUUGUCAAGGACCCCUGUGCCUCCAUUUUUCACUCCAUAUCCCUUGGAUAUUGCCCUGCCACUUGAUACUCUGGCCACCACAUAGGCUUUCCUGGCUGGUAAGUGGAAUAUGAAACUUCAAUAUAUCCCAUAAAAGAAACCUCCAUUUAUAUCUAACUGGCCAGCACAUAAUCAUAUGACCUGACCCAUAUGUAGAGGGAGGAUGAGAAAUACAAUAUUUUAGCUAGGCACACAGCCACCUUGAAUAAAAUCAGAAAUUCCUAUUAAAGGAGAGAGAGUGAAUGAAUAUUUGUGUCUUGUUAGAAGUACAUAUAAACUUCAACCAAGAUAAACACACCUGUUAAGUCUUAAUUGAAAUGAAAUUGCAAAAUUAACUUUUAGGUAUGAGUGAACUGAACCUGAACUGUUCACAUUCAAUUAAAUUAUGGCUCAAAUAACUACCUUAAUCAAAUGGAAAAAAACCCACUGUUGAGUAAAAUUCAAAGUUUAUGUGGUCAAUGGCUCAAAUACCUAUCUCUCUCCCCUCCACCUAUCUACCCCAUCACCUCCAGGCAACUUACCCAACCACAUUUCCAUCCAUUUACAUUAUAUCUUAAGGACUAUGUUCCUGAGAACUCUCCUCCACAACCUCUUUCCUUGGCAUAUAUUGCCUCUCGCCCUUCUUAAAGUGCUCAUUUGUAUAUUUAAAGAUGCUUAACCAGACAGAAUUGGGGUAAUUAAGCUUCAUUUGCUGAACAGCAACAGAACUAAUUACUCAUGUAUUUGGGCAAGAGUCUGAAAUAAACCUCUAGGAAUACAGUAAAGUAUGGGUUGUAAGGAUGAUGAAAAGGAAUAAAAUAAUAGAAGCAGAGCUUUAGCAAACGACCUCAAAUUCUUGUCCUGGCAAGAGUGCAAUAUUAAGAGGGAAGGACAAGAGAAAAGUUCAACGUGGGAAAAAUUUAACUAACUAUAGUAAGUUUUAUUUUCCUUCUGUGUUCUGUCAGAAACACCAGUGUUAUUCUUCCUACAAAUGAGGCUGGGAAAAUAUGAAAUACACAUGUUUAGUUUUGUAAUAUAAAUCAAUUUAAAUGUUUUCCAAGAAAAAUUAGGUAACAAAUUUUAAAUUCUCUAUAAUUAUUCCAGGGAUAUUUGGGUGAUGACUAUCUAAAAUCCUCUGUCUGCCCUUUUUACUUUUGAAUAUUAACAUCUCUACUAAACUUGUUCAAAUGGAAAAAUCAACAUAUCUUCUCCCUCUUACUGAUCAUUCUGAACUAUAAGGAAUGAGUUAAAUUUUCUUAAUAGCAACUUUAGUACAAAGAAAUAAAGAAAAAAAAUUAAAAUAAUAUUUGAAACCCUUUACUGAGCAUGGCAGAUUAAACUUACGUUUAUGUCUCCAGUACCUUCCAAAACUGCAUUACAAUUAGGGCAAAUAAAUUUUUUAAAGUAUAAGCCCACAAGAGAAUGGAGGGUAAGAGAAGAAAUGCUAGAGAAAUAGCACCAAAUUUUCAGAGCCACAAAAUUGAUGAAUCAUAACUGAUCUGGCAGAGUGUGGAAAGGUGAAAUCUAAAUAUCAACAGAACAAAAAUUAAGAGGCAAAUUUCAAAACUGGAGGGAUCUAGUGUCACAGGGGCUAACGAUAAAGACACACAGUAACAAAAGAAUGGGUUAAAAGCCUAUGGGAGACAUUCGAUCCCAGAUACUUUUUCACAACCUGUACUCCUUUAACCAUACCUGAUUGCAACACAAAACGGAGAUUUGUUCUUUGGACAAAGUCCCUCAAAAGACUCUCCAUGUAUAGUGAGGUGAAUGACUAUACUUAUAUUCACCUACUGGACCCAGAACAGGGAGAGCACCUGGGUAAAUCAUAUAGACCCGUAUGGGAAAGUCAACACACAAGUCCUUUCUGCUCCCAAAUUCAGGCAGCAGGCUGCACAGGAGAAAUUAAUCAUAGGAGAAACUGGCUAAUAAGAGAGACCUGACAUUUGUGGAACUACUCACAAAAAACAGAUAGGUUUAGCUCUAGAGCCCUAAGUUAGGCCAACCAGUUGACACAAAGUCUUUCCACAGUUUUAAAUGAACGUUUUAAGUCCACCUUCGUAAACAUCAAAUGGCAGGCAAGAUCACUAUUCCUACUAGGAAAUUCUUCACACGAAAAUGAAAGAGUGGAGCAAUCUAACAAAAGAAAAUGUAAAAAGAAUAUAAAGAGAAUAGUGAAAAGGGGAAACAAAAAUGUAAAAAAAAAAAAAAAAAAAGUAAUAUACUCAAAGAAAGGAGAAAAAAGAUAUGGCUUCCCUAAAGAGAGAGAGAGAUCAGAUCAGAGAACAAGAAAGAAUUCUUGGUAGUUAAAUAUGUAUGUAUGAGGGAAGUAAUCAUCCCCAAGAGCUCCCCUAAAGGCUGCCAUUUUGGAAAUGAGAUAUAACUUCACCCAACAGCCUGCAGGCUCUACUUCUGGAAGCCUCAAGCCAUUCAAUAAACAGGGCA